RNAcentral lists this ribosomal RNA (400 nucleotides) under uncultured bacterium. RNAcentral's name for it is "bacterial SSU rRNA". It matches the Rfam family "Bacterial small subunit ribosomal RNA", at positions 356 to 773 of the family's 1533-position model. The record is from RNAcentral.
CGGGAAUAUUGGGCAAUGGGGGAAACCCUGACCCAGCAAUGCCGCGUGAACGACGAAGGCCUUCGGGUUGUAAAGCUCUGUCCUUGGGGAAGAAGAUGACGGUAUCCAAGAAGAAAGCCACGGCUAACUACGUGCCAGCAGCCGCGGUAACACGUAGGUGGCGAGCGUUGUCCGGAAUUACUGGGCGUAAAGGGCGAGUAGGCGGCCUUUAAAGUCAGAUGUGAAAGUCUAGGGCUUAACCCUAGGAUUGCAUUUGAAACUUAAGGGCUUGAGUGUAGGAGAGGGAAGCGGAAUUCCUAAUGUAGCGGUGAAAUGCGUAGAUAUUAGGAGGAACACCAGUGGCGAAGGCGGCUUCCUGGCCUAUAACUGACGCUGAGGCGCGAAAGCGUGGGGAGCAAAC